This is a non-coding RNA of Gossypium arboreum, 107 nucleotides long. The record is from Rfam. NCBI's taxonomy places the organism in Eukaryota, Viridiplantae, Streptophyta, Magnoliopsida, Malvales, Malvaceae.
AUUCCAUGACGAGGGAACUUUUGUAAUAACUCUUCAUACUUUUCCCAUGCCUCAUACAAUGACUCAUCAUCCAUUUAUUGGAAGGCAGUGAUCUCGUUCCUCAACUU